RNAcentral lists this unclassified non-coding RNA (343 nucleotides) under soil metagenome. RNAcentral's name for it is "partial contains 5.8S ribosomal RNA, internal transcribed spacer 2, and large subunit ribosomal RNA". The stretch from base 1 to 120 matches the Rfam family "5.8S ribosomal RNA", at positions 35 to 154 of the family's 154-position model. The record is from RNAcentral.
GAUGAAGAACGCAGCGAAACGCGAUAAGUAAUGUGAAUUGCAGAAUCCAGUGAAUCAUCGAAUCUUUGAACGCACAUUGCGCCCGCCAGCAUUCUGGCGGGCAUGCCUGUUCGAGCGUCAUUUCAACCCUCGACCUCCCCUUGGGGAGGUCGGCGUUGGGGACCGGCAGCACACCGCCGGCCCUGAAAUGGAGUGGCGGCCCGUCCGCGGCGACCUCUGCGCAGUAAUACAGCUCGCACCGGGACCCCGACGCGGCCACGCCGUAAAACACCCAACUUCUGAACGUUGACCUCGAAUCAGGUAGGACUACCCGCUGAACUUAAGCAUAUCAAUAAACGGAGGA